CCCUUAGAUGUCCUGGGCUGCACGCGCGCUACACUGAUGUGUCCAGUAAGCACCUAACCUCUUCCGAAAGGAACGGGUAACCUUUGCAAAGCACAUCGUGAUGGGGAUAGAUUAUUGCAAUUAUUAGUCUUGAACGAGGAAUUCCUAGUAAGCACAAGUCAUCAGCUUGUGUUGAUUACGUCCCUGCCCUUUGUACACACCGCCCGUCGCUCCUACCGAUUGAAUGUUCCGGUGAGCUCUUCGGACUGCGCGGUCUGCAGUUUCUACGUUCCGUGCGGAAAGUUGCGCAAACCUUAACAUUUAGAGGAAGGAGAAGUCGUAACA
Molecule: ribosomal RNA, 324 nt
Filed under: uncultured eukaryote
Lineage: Eukaryota
Description: partial 18S ribosomal RNA
Rfam family: Eukaryotic small subunit ribosomal RNA
Source: RNAcentral